Molecule: ribosomal RNA, 426 nt
Filed under: uncultured bacterium
Lineage: Bacteria
Description: bacterial SSU rRNA
Rfam family: Bacterial small subunit ribosomal RNA
Source: RNAcentral
GUGAGGAAUAUUGGUCAAUGGGAGGAAUCCUGAACCAGCCAUGCCGCGUGCAGGACGACGGCUCUACGAGUUGUAAACUGCUUUUGUACCGGGGUAAAAUGCCUUACGAGUAGGGUUUUGAAAGUACGGUACGAAUAAGGAUCGGCUAACUCCGUGCCAGCAGCCGCGGUAAUACGGAGGAUCCGAGCGUUAUCCGGAUUCAUUGGGUUUAAAGGGUGCGUAGGUUGUUUUAUAAGUUAGCGGUGAAAUACCGAUGCUCAACAUCGGGGCUGCCGCUGAUACUGUAGGACUAGAGAUCGGAUGCAGCAGGCGGAAUGUGUAGUGUAGCGGUGAAAUGCAUAGAUAUUACACAGAACACCGAUUGCGAAGGCAGCUUGCUAGGCCGGAUCUGACACUGAUGCACGAAAGCGUGGGGAUCGAACAGGA